This is a long non-coding RNA of Apis cerana (Asiatic honeybee), 9128 nucleotides long. RefSeq lists it as uncharacterized. The record is from RefSeq and is a predicted model, not a curated record. NCBI's taxonomy places the organism in Eukaryota, Metazoa, Arthropoda, Insecta, Hymenoptera, Apidae.
UGCUCGUUACGUAACUAUCGUUGGAAAUUGAGUUGCAGUGAACUGUGAACUGACCUUAUUUCGUUAGCAUCAAGAGCAAACCGUAGCGUCGUUUUCGUUCUCAUUUCUCGUCGAUCGUCAACCACCGUUUCUACGUGCAUUACGUACUGUGUUACACGAAUUUCUCUUUUCUGUGUAUACGCUCGUGUGCAACUAUGUUGCCUAACCUCGAAUUACGAAUUCGAAUUGCAUUUCUUCUAUAUAUGUGUUCAGUGUGUUAAAAUCCAUACGUGUGGCGAAUUUUAUUGUAGGAAAGGUGAAUUGAAAUUCGCGAUAGCGAAACUCCAAAUAAGUUGUUCGACUUUGAAGAUGAGGUUUGGAUUUCCCUGUGGGCAGUGUGAAUAGUGGAAGUCGAAAUUCAUAACGUAAACACAUACAUAUAUACACACACAUAUACAUAUAUGUACAUAUAUACAUACACAAAAGAAAAGAACGUAAUAACUUAUCAAAGUCGGUAUGAAAGGAAUAUCGCGUUUUAACGAACUUUUAUUAUUUUUUUUUUUAUCAUUUUAUUUCAAGAUUAAUAUCAUAGGAAAGUUAUAUUUCAAAUUUAAUUAGAAAUCCAAGUGUUAUGUAUAUUCAUUAAUUUCUCAUUAAUUAUCAAUAGUUUAAAUAUUCGUUAAAAUUUUCAAUAUAUUUUUAUAUCAUCUUUAUAUGCUUUUAAGAGAUAUAAUACAAAGUUGCAAAUUGCAAAUCGCGUAUUAAAAGAGAAACUCGACGAGAUGACGGAGACAGUGAACUUUCAUUAUCAAAAUCGCCGGAAAUUUGAAAUGGGUUGAAGGAUGAAACACGUCCCCCUUCCUUCACCCCUCCCAACCAGCCCAUCCUGUUCUAGCACCUUGAUUCACCCUUUGAUUCGAGACAGGGAAAGGUGAAGUCGGCUGAGAACGACAGGCAACUCGAUCGACGAGAGCAAAGGAACAACUUUUUCAAUUAUAUUCCCUCAGAUCGAUAGAGCGAUUCAUUCCCGAGAAUGAUUCCCGGAUUAUCGAAGGAUUAUCCGUUCACCCACGCCCACCACGCUUUCUUUCCGCGGGUUUUAAUGAAAUGUUUACCAUCGAUCCGUCCAUCGUUCCUUCUAAUCCAUUGAUACUAAUGUAAUACCUCUUUUUACCAAUAUUUCAAAUAAAUCGUCCAGAUCUUUCUGAAAUUUCUUUCAGAAAGAUUAAGAAGGAGAAGAUUCUUUUAAGAAAUUCUAUUUUUUUUUUUUUUUAGGAAUUUUGAAAAAAGUCUUACUUUUCUAAUUUUAAAAAUUUCCAAAAAAUUAUUUAUUUUAAUAAUUAUUUUUACUUUCAGGAUUUGAGUGAUGAAAAUCAGCAAUUAGAUUUUUUUCUUUCUGCGAGUAAUGGUUUGAGUUUUGGUCUUAUUAGAGAUAAAAUUGUUAUUUUUAAUUAUUUUUAGAGAUUCAGUUUGUCUUAACUAAUAUGAGGUACCAUGUACAAUACGUAAAACGUGUAUUAUAUAUUAUUUUUAAGAAUGAAUAAUUAAUGAAAAUAUCAAAAAGGAAGAAGUUUUGAGAAACAUUCUUUGAACGAAUAUAUUAAAAAUCUUGUUGCAAGAUCAUUUUUCUUCAAAAGAAAUCAAAACAUUCUAGUUCGAUGGGAGGAAAAAUGGCGGUAGGCAUGGAACGAUUCGUUUCCUCCUCGAAUAACGUGUCUUCCAUAAAACGUUUCGAUUCCCUCUUCACAAUUUCAUGGAAAGAAGUGGGUGCAAAAAUUCGUUCGUGAUUAUUAAUAGCCGAUUCGAGUUAUAGUGGCAUCAACAACAAAUACCUCGAAUAUGUUCAGAAUAACGAGAGCAAUAUUUGAAGGUGGAAAAACCAGGAAUUUUCCUCCGUCCGGCAAGGAAAAUCCGUCUCGAAGACCUAGGAGGAACGCGUGGAACAAGGGAGACGAGAAUGGAGACAGAGAAAAAGGGAGGAAAAAGGAAGGCGUGGGUAUGGAAGAGGGUAGUUUGGAUGCAGUAGCAAACAGGCAGAUUGGAUUCCCGACUCGAUUUACCGGAAUGCAGAAAUAACAGCUGGCGAGGUCUCCUCGAGGCCGAUCCGGCUUUGCAAUCUUCUCCUCUUUUCUUCCUUCCGCUUUUCAGACAUACGAGAGAAAGCGACAUGGAGCGGACAGAAGAAGAGGAAGAAGAAUGCAGACGCCGGAUUCGAGGGACAGUUCAGUAAAGGUGAACUGAAGAAUGUUUUAUACACAGGAUGGAUUCACAUAACUGGACCAUCCUGAAUAACAUUUAAGGCAUGUGUUCUGGGCAAAAUUGUUUUGUACUGCUAUUUUUAUCGUUGCGUGGAGUUUAUUAUAAAGAAAAUUUAAGAUUUUAAAGAAAGUCUAGUGAAAAUAAAUUUAAAUGUUAAUGAAGUUAAAGAGUAACCAAGCCGUACGAAAGUGAAUAAGCAUAGCAAUGUUCAGACAACUCGUUGGAAGUAGAAACAUCAGUCAAUGAUCGGCCACGUUAUAAUUAACUUAUAACCUAUAUUCUGAAAAUUGUUAUAAUUCCAAUAAUAAUAUAAUAUUUCAAUAAUAAUUUUGCCUACGUUAAAAUCAUAAUUCUAUACUUUUUUUUAUACAAAAAAUUAUCUCAAAGUCUUGUAAGUAGAAAUAACUGACAUUCAUCAGACGCACCAUUAUAUAAAAAGUACUUUACUUUCUCAUUUUUCUAUGAUACAUCAUUUUCUUAAUUAUUUUUCAGUUUUCAUUCAAUCCUUUAAUAAUAUCUUUUAGAUUUUAUUGAUUCUCAAUAUCUCAGAAUCAUCAGUAGAAUAUCUAUACGUUUUACCAUCAACAAUACACGUCGAGAAAACAAUAUGAUCCAUCUCUAACUUUGCUUCCUUUCUUUCACGCUAAAUUCCCUUUAUUCCAUCUGCUUUCAAAAAGAUAAACCGUAAUUCCAGGAUAAAAAGGGACCUUGACCGUCGAAGCUUUGGAUUCAGGGAUUUGUCGAAUCGAACCAAAUGCAAAAACGCAAUUCCGUCAGUAUCACCGCUAGAAGGAGCUAGUGUUUCGCGCAGAUAACGAACGGCGUUAAUUUCUCUAAUCAGUUCCCUUCUCGUCUUCGUCGCCUCUUUCUUUCAACCGACGAUGCAAUUUUCGUGUAACAGCGUCGGCUAAGCUACUCUCUUCCCUGGACUCUUACCACUACUGCCCUCUGCUGUUCUUUGAUCUCACGUUUCUUACUCGCCGUCUCGACUACCGCGUGGAAUAGUUAAUCAACGAGUGAGCUGGGAGAAACGUGGGUCGAAAGUUGUGAAAGUUUUAUUGCAGAGUAGCUUGCGAGCUGGCUUUUAAGUGUUACGGGGGCAUGUUGUAGGUCAGUUUUAAGUAUGUGGCUUUUGGAACGUGAGUAGUUAAGGAGGAAAGUGGUUUGGUGGAGAUUCAGUUUAAAAUUUAUAUGCUUUUAUAUUAGGUUAUUAAAAGUAAAUAAAUCGAAAUAUUGUUGGGAUUAUAUACGAGAAAGUUAGAAUUUAGAAAUUUUAUAAAAUAUAUAUGAGUACAAAGAGAAAUUUAGAAUACGGAGCAUAUUUUUAAGAUCCAUCAACCUCAAACUUGUUUCAAACUGUUUGCAAGAAUAAAAAAAGGAAUCUUUGCUUUUCGUUUUGAUCAAAGUUUCUAUCCGAUGGAUAUAAUGAAACGAUAAAUGAAACGCUUGGAAGAUACGAGGUUAAAAUUUUGACACGAUUUAUAUCAAUAAUGGAAUAAAGGAAACAAGUGAAGAAGCUAUUCAUGUCUGCGAAUGGGAAAAAGUGUUUGACAGCGACUAAUAGUUGGAUUUUGAUUAAAAAAUUUCAUAAGAAAGAGAGAAGCAGUAACUCUUAUUGAAAUAUCAUGUUUAGAAAGAGAGGCAAGCAAGAAAAAUCUAGCGAAUAUAUUUCACGGCGAAUGAAGAAACGAAACGGAGUGGCACAGUUAGAAAAGCAGGAAGCAUAGCGAAAAAUUUCGAUCCCCAUGCGUGUUAGGUUAAACGAUACCCAUACAAGUAAUAUGGGGGGAGCAGGUGAAAUGCUAGAUGAAUUUUAAUUUCAGCUCCAUUACCGCUCGUUCAUAAAACGCCAUUGAUGUCGUUGUUCAACAGUGCGUGCAAAUUCGAGGAGGGAACAUUUGCAUCCUGAUUGAUCUUCAUUGGAAUAAUAAACCAUGAAAUUUACCAAUUCGAAGCCAGGCAUAUCGAAUUUUUUUAUAUGAAACGAUGAAUUCCACGAGAAAUAAACAAGAAUAAAUUCAGAGAAAUAAACAAGAUGAGAUGGAUAUCGAAUUUUUUCCUUUAUUUUCGAUAAUAAAUAAAGAUGCAUAAAAUAUACACAUAGAUUUGAUAGAUCGAAUAGAAAGAAUACAAUUUUAACAAAAGAAGAAAAAGAAAAAAAAGCAGAUUAUAUAUUUCGAGUUGGGGAAACUGAAGUCCAAGGAACUGAAUUUCAAGCGAGCGUCUCGUCUCUUCAACCGGAUCUGCAACUCGAUAAUGAGUUAUUGUAGCAUAAACUGUGGAUUAACGGGCAGAACUGUGGAUUUUCCUGUGGGGCGGGGAGGGGGAAGGGGAGGAGGUGCGGCGAUAAAUUUACGGAGACCGGCGUAAAUAAGAGCCACCUAGUGGCUGAUCGACGAACCUAUUCGUACAUAAUGGAUGAAUUAACUGUAUUUUGAUUCCCGCGCACAGGCGGCCUUUUCAAUCGCGGCCGUUUCCGCGUCACCGCGAACCGCAUCAGCGAAUUUCUGAACGUAGCCGCGUGCAUACACGAUUCGCCACAAACCAAAUUCGAGUCCACUAAAUUUCUAAAAAUCUAUGAUACGGUUAUUGAUGGAACGACGAAUGCCUGUACUACAAUUUUAUUAUUUGUUUUUUUUUUUUUGGUCGGCUGAUGUUUGAGGUUAGGUCAGUUUGAUCGUAUAUCGAUGCGUGUAGCGUCACAUUCUGCUUUAUGAAUUACAUUAUGCACUUUUAUCUAUUACACCAUUCUUAUCCCAAUACCUUCCUUCGAAUAUAAUCCAUUAAUUGCAAUUUUCAAGGUAAACGGAUAAGAAAAAAAAAGUAGAGAGAGAAAGAGAGAGGAGGAAUCGAGAAACGCUUCUUAAAAUUCACGAAGUUUCCCUGUAAGCUUAUUAGUUGAUUGAAUAUUCUACCGUUAUAUUGCGUUUACUUACUGGCGAAGUAAGCCAGCAUCGCUGUGAGCGCAACAGCGAGGAGGAUCAGUGCAAUCGAGAAACACUUCCAGGAGCAUCUGUGCUGGCACCGUUUGUCGAUGUGAAAACGUGACGGCGAAUACGGUGAAUAAUGCGGCACCGCUGCAGCGCGAAGUGGAAAUCCUGGCAUUACCAUGGCUUGACCUUGGGCGCCCACCGUGCCUGUACCACCAUUUCCAGCGGCUGCCCCCAAACCACCACCCAGAGAGCCGACUGUCACCUGCUGCUGCGGCGGAGGAAGCCUGUAACACGUAACGAAAGCGAGCAAACGUUAUUCAUCACCGUUGUUGAUUAAUUAUUUAUGCGGGUUGUUUGGUAUCAACGGGGGAUUUUUUUCUUUUUUUUCUUCAACAACAAAAAUAAGACGAAAUUAUUAUAUUAUCCAUUUGCCUAGACACGAUCAUAUGAUGAGCGAGCUUUUUCAACUACCUUUCAUGGAAGAGACGCGUUGAAGCUGAAGGAGACGUCAAACCUACGUCAAGGAUUUUAUUUUCAUCACAGGCGAUAUUUAUCUUGAUCGGUAUCGAGAGGGUACCUCUUCUAUCCAGGAAACCUCGUGAAAGAGGCAACGUCGAAACAGGGAUUCAAUACAGGGUAUUAUGAACAAGUAACUUAACCAGGAUUUUACUCAACGUUUCGAAAUGUCUGCGCAUACGUUUCUAGAAUUCAGGAUGAUGGAUAUAAGAGAGAUUUAUAAAAGUAGUCAUCAGUUCGACGAUUUAUCACGUUUGUUCGAAGAUUAUAAAUUGACGGAAAUUAAUUUUCUCGAAUUGUCAACGGGUAGAGAUCACCAAGUAUAUUCACAAUUCCACUUUUAAUUGCAAUUAUUUUUUACAAAAUUUUAAGGAACGUAUAUUUAAGAAGAGAUUUAAUCAUUCGAUCAACGUAUUUGAAACUAUCUAAUAAAUUUCACGCAAGAAGCAUUAAAAUAUUCUGAUAUUCCGAGCGGCGAAAAUUCGACGGAAGAAUAAUGCCAAGGCAAUGGUCGGAUGAAAAUCGAGCUAAGCGGCUGCACGAACUUAACAAUACCACCCCGAAGCGCCAAUAUUGAAUUUUCCGCUUAAGAUUCAACCGAGCUUCCAACGAUGGGCAGGUGUUGUAACAACGGGACGGAAUUACGCGGCCUGAAAACGACGCAAAUUGGGCCACGGCCUGCCGCUGGUCGCCCCUUCGAUCGAACAAAAUGGCGAAUGAAUAUUUAAACCUAGGACGAACAGAUAUAAUUUUCGUAAAAGGAGAAGCGAGGCGAAAAUUUUAGAUAUUUGAAUAUAUAAUUUUAAUUCUCUUCGUUUUCACGAAUUAGUUUCGAUCCUCAAGAUUCAACGCGAAAGAAAGAUUUCAAUAACAUCUAUCUGUCAUAAGAUAAGCUUACGAAACUUGUUACAAAUAUAUUAAAGAAAUAACGAGGCGAAUUUAUGAAACGAAAUUUCAAAGGAAUUUUCAACCAUAAAGUUCGCUCUCUGCCAUUAUAUCAUAUUCUUUUUUUAUCAAUCUCGCCGAGACUCGAAAGGGAGGGAUCAUUAAGAUGUUUCACGUUGCUCGUGUAACGUAUUAGUUAUUUAACAACGCUCGAUAAACAUCAUAAAUAAUUGGAAGUUCUUACCGAGCCUAUAAACGUCUGCUCAUAUUUCUUUGGACCGGGAAGCAAUCGGUCGAGGCAAAGCAAGGGAUCGAAAGAAAGGGUAUGAGCAACGUGAAGGUAAGAGAGCAAAACGAAAGGAAGGAGGAACGAAGAGAGGGAGAAGAAAAGCGAAACAUCACUGGCAGAGGGCCCGACGUCGGUGCUUUACCGACCGAGCCCGACGGAAGAAACAAGCGAAAGAAUAGCAGCGAGCGAUAAAUAUUGCUUUUUCUUUUGGAGAUCAUUAAGUUGAGAACAGACGGCGGUAGAAAAUUAAUUUACUAAAAGUAUCGGCGGAUUCGGUCGCAAAAACGAGUCGGCGAAAGAACUUUAAUGGCGAAAUAAUGGGGGUCUUAAAAGUUGGACGAUAGCCAGUGACAUCUUUAUUCGAUCUCGGAAUCGUCGUCUCGCCCAAAGACUUCCCUCUUUGUUACGCUUUCCCAGUGUGUCGCCAUUGUUUGUCUCCGCGAGUCGCGUGCAACUCAUCGUGAAAAAAUGCGUGGCUUAAUGAACUUGAUCGUGGCGCUUCUAUCGAGUUAUAUUUCACUCGCUACGUGUCCUUGGUCAACGAACUUUUCCUCGUUCGAAAACGACAUGAUAUUAUUAGUAACGAGAUCGUAUAAUGGAUAUUCAUACAUGUUGGAUAUUUUUUGUACAUUUGUAUAUGAAUCGAAAAAGGAACAUAUAACGAACAUCCCAUUUUUUGAUAAUGAUAUUUUUAAGCGAGUAUAUUCGUUUCAUGCGACAAAAUAUUUCUGGGUCUCGUUAACUUUGUUACGAAUCGCUGAUGGAAAAUUCUUGUACACGUAUAAUGCGUACAUUUGAUACGAUAAUAACAAAGGGAACUUUGACGAAGCAAGUUGCACUUCAUUGUUUCGUCGAAAGUUAAUUGCAUACGUUUGUUGUAGAACCAAGUUGAACGAUUAUAUAAUGAAUAAUGAAUGAUAAUGCCAUAUUAUCGUACCACUCGAUACUGGUACAACUAUGGUCGUACUUCAUUUAUUAUCGUUGUCCAAUCGAUAAACAUAACCUCUUUUUUUAACUACCGCAACAAAACGUAUAAUAUAUUCAUAAAUAGUAGUAAGUAGAUAAUUACGAUUAUUGUAGAUCCCAGAUAUUAAAUGUUUAAUAUAAUUACUGUAACGUUUACAAUAUCUAGAAAAUGACACAAUGGUUUAACGCAAUGUUUUAAACGGUUUAAAUGAAAAGCGAGUUUGGCACUUCCUCUUUUCACCGUUCCAGAGUGUAGUUGUCGCCGUGAUUGAAUAAAGCAAAGGGCCAUGUUUCCAGCUCGAACGUUUAAUUGUGAUCGGAAACGCAAUUCCGUAACGCGCAGCACUAAUCAACACCCGCGGCGCGAAUAAAGCUUUAAUGAGAUUGCGAGUGUAGUGAGGGGAGGGAGCGGAGGCGGAGACAGACAAGGGCGGCGAAUUUUCUUCCGACGGUGACAAAUAAAUACAGCUUAGGUUAAGAACCUUCAGACAGCUGUACAGCCGUUUCACUACGGACAACCAGAUUCCUGAUUGCACGUAACGGACAAAUGAAGCGAGGGGGGAGAGUAGCUGAAAACAAGAUGAACGACUGCAGUGGAGGAGAAGGAAUGGACUGGAAACGAGAACGAGAGGGGAAAAACAUGGCGGAAGAACGAAGGUACAACGUUCCAAAGCUUGCACAUCCGCAUUUCAUCUACCUUCGCGUCUCCUAUACGUGUUGCCAACCGUUCAAUGUUCACGUUGGCACACUUGCGCGUCCGUCUACGACACCUACACCGAUUAAGGGAAUUGACCAGCUAUCUGAUAUAUUGGAAGUUAAAAGGGUAAUUGCGCGUGGCGUUACUGUCACAUAUUGAGUCGAGUGUUGUCUGAGUGGAAGAUUGGAGCGGGCCCGAGGAUAGGGACGAGCGUGUGAUCCAAUUAUGAUGUAACGAACGCGUCAUUACUCGGAACACGCUCGACAACGAGGCGCAUAAGCUCCGAAUUGUGGUCAGGCAUCAAACGUUCUUUUCUCUGGAGACCCGAUCGCUUUGUUAUGACUCGUCCCUCUCCGUUGUUUCGACGAUUAAGAGCGAGAAAGGAAGGGCGAGGAUGACUAAGAAGGAUAAAACAAAAUAUACGAUUCGAAGAAAAGCAGUUAUAGUUGACCUUUUAAAAAUAAAGUCAUACGAAUAAUUCGUACAUUGAACGAGGUCAUUUUUUUUUGUCUCGUACAACAAUUUUAAAUUGUUCCAUCGAAAUCAUUGUAUACAGAUAUUUGUUAUUUAUUUAAAAAAAAUAUAUUAAAUUAUUUUAACGGAA